Molecule: ribosomal RNA, 468 nt
Filed under: uncultured bacterium
Lineage: Bacteria
Description: partial 16S ribosomal RNA
Rfam family: Bacterial small subunit ribosomal RNA
Source: RNAcentral
GACGAACGCUGGCGGCGUGCUUAACACAUGCAAGUCGAACGGAAAGGCCCUGCUUUUGUGGGGUGCUCGAGUGGCGAACGGGUGAGUAACACGUGAGUAACCUGCCCUUGACUUUGGGAUAACUUCAGGAAACUGGGGCUAAUACCGGAUAGGAGCUCCUGCUGCAUGGUGGGGGUUGGAAAGUUUCGGCGGUUGGGGAUGGACUCGCGGCUUAUCAGCUUGUUGGUGGGGUAGUGGCUUACCAAGGCUUUGACGGGUAGCCGGCCUGAGAGGGUGACCGGCCACAUUGGGACUGAGAGACGGACCAGAAUCCUACGGGAGGCAGCAGUGGGGAAUAUGGCACAAUGGGCGGAAGCCUGAUGCAGCAACGCCGCGUGCGGGAUGACGGCCUUCGGGUUGUAAACCGCUUUCGCCUGUGACGAAGCGUGAGUGACGGUAAUGGGUAAAGAAGCACCGGCUAACUACGUG